UACAGAGGGUGCGAGCGUUAAUCGGAAUUACUGGGCGUAAAGCGCGCGUAGGCGGCUUUGCAAGUCGGAUGUGAAAUCCCCAGGCUCAACCUGGGAACUGCAUUCGAGACUGCUUUGCUAGAGUAUGGGAGAGGGAAGUGGAAUUUCCGGUGUAGCGGUGAAAUGCGUAGAUAUCGGAAGGAACAUCAGUGGCGAAAGCGACUUCCUGGACCAAUACUGACGCUCAUGUGCGAAAGCGUGGUGAGCGAACAGG
Molecule: ribosomal RNA, 253 nt
Filed under: uncultured bacterium
Lineage: Bacteria
Description: partial 16S ribosomal RNA
Rfam family: Bacterial small subunit ribosomal RNA
Source: RNAcentral